Long non-coding RNA from Xenopus laevis (African clawed frog), 1109 nucleotides. RefSeq lists it as uncharacterized. NCBI's taxonomy places the organism in Eukaryota, Metazoa, Chordata, Amphibia, Anura, Pipidae. The transcript has 3 exons. The record is from RefSeq and is a predicted model, not a curated record.
UUCCCUGUGUGUUGUGCUGGAAUCUUCAUGUGUUCCUAAAUGCUAGUUUAAUCUUUACUCAGUGAAUCAUUGCUGUGUGUUCCUUUGAACUGCUUAGAACUGCACUUUCUCUGGGGCAAUACAAACCCUUCACCUGGAGGAAGUUUCCUGGCCCGAUUGGGAUCACUCAGAGUCACAGUAAAAAGUAUUUAAACGCACUGUGUCUCCAGAGCGAUGUGUCGGCUUGAGCUGUACAGUCGAGUUCUACCCAAAAUCCCAGGCUGGUCAGUCUCUUGAGGAUCUCUGACUUGAAGAGACACACAGAGAGGGUCUUGGAUCUUGACAUUAAGGAUCCUAUGUGCCUGAACACUCAUGGAAGAUUUCACACGUAGUAUAUUGCAAAAUAAAACCAGGAGGAUGCUUCCCUAUCACCUAGACUGAUUCCAAGCUGAAACAUCACUUAUGAGAAUAUCCAUGCCAUUUACAUUUCAAAAAUGUUUUAAUACUCUGAUAGAAAACCUGUGUGCAAAUUGGAAAUGUGUACGUAUGUAUGUGUGCUUUAGAACAGCAUUGACGUAUAUGAUGCAAUUUUAGGACCCUAGAUAGAGACGUUCCUGUAUUUGUAAGAUCUGCCAUCCCAGCGGAACUGUUUAGCCAGUUUGCAUAAAAAGUAUUAUUUGCAUUGCUUCAAUUAGUGCAUGAACGGGAAUAUAACAACUAAAUGAGAUAUUCACUCGUCUCAUGUCACUGUGAAGUAUUAGCAGUCUGAUCUCCCACUUUCCAAAUUGACUGUCACCUAGUUAAGUAUGGUGCCGCUCUUGAUAUACUCAUGUAUUGCUGCAUUACAGAACUUAGUAUAAAUUUGUGCCAAUCUUGCUGCAGAGUACCUUAGCCUAUGUUUGGCUGUGCAAUUGCUUCUAUGUUUUCUGCUUAUUGACCAAGCUCGCCCAACUCUUGUUCACUCCUUUUAAUUGCUCUCCUGCUAAUUUUGUUCUGUCAAUUUUCUUUCUUUUUUUGUUUUACUUUCUCUAUUCUCAUGUCCUAUCCCUAGGCUUUCUUUAUCUGUUUCCUAUGAUUCAUGUACUAAAAUAAACCUGAGAAUAAAGAUCUUGUCUUUGUGAUGUUAAAUA